RNAcentral lists this ribosomal RNA (449 nucleotides) under uncultured bacterium. RNAcentral describes it as "bacterial SSU rRNA". It matches the Rfam family "Bacterial small subunit ribosomal RNA", at positions 355 to 796 of the family's 1533-position model. The record is from RNAcentral.
UGGGGAAUUUUGGACAAUGGGGGCAACCCUGAUCCAGCAAUACCGCGUGUGUGAAGAAGGCCUGCGGGUUGUAAAGCACUUUAGGUGGGGAAGAAAGCUAUUGGACGAAUAAACCAGUAGGGUGACAUAACCCACAGAAUAAGCACCGGCUAACUCUGUGCCAGCAGCCGCGGUAAUACAGAGGGUGCAAGCGUUAAUCGGAAUUACUGGGCGUAAAGCGCAUGUAGGUGGUUUAAAAAGUUUGAUGUGAAAGCCCCGGGCUUAACCUGGGAAUGGCAUUGAAUACUGUUGAACUUGAGUCGGUGAGAGGGCAGUGGAAUUUCCGGUGUAGCGGUGAAAUGCGUAGAGAUCGGAAAGAACAUCAGUGGCGAAGGCGUCUGCCUGGCACCAGACUGACACUUAAGUGCGAAAGCGUGGGGAGCAAACAGGAUUAGAUACCCCCGUAGUCC